UUCCUUCCUUCCUUCCUUCCUUCCUUCCUUCCUUCCUUUCUUUGAAAUAUUGACAAGACCAAACAACAUGCUUUCUUUGAGGAGACAGCUGGUGUUGUCUUCAAAACUGUGUCAGAAGCUCGGACCACUUUGAGAGCUGUCUGUGCCUUCCUUGCCAUAUUCCUAGAGCCCCAGAGGACACAUGCUCUAGAGGUUUCUACUCUACCAUGAAGUACAGAUCCUGCCGUCUCCUCCAGGAAACCUUUCUUGACUACUGCAUAGGGAUUGUCUUAAUGUCCCUCUAUUCAUGCAGGGGGUGGCAAGCCUUCUUGUCUAUGUUUUGGAUUUUGAAGGCCACAUAAUAUCUCUGCAACAUAUUUAUCUUUGUUUCAUUGUUUAGUUUGUCUAUCUUUUUCUUUUCUUUGUAAUCAUUUAAACAUGUAAAAAACAUUCCUAGUUAGCUGACUUUGCAAAAGAAGCUGCAGGCCUGGUCUGGGUUUGCAGAAUAUCCUGUUUAAAUCACCACAAAAACAUAUUGCAAGUUGGUCCAAGAGCUGUGGUUUAUUGUUAAGGAAAAAACAAAACAAACAAACAAACAACAUUUUGCAAUUGUCUGUCUUUGCACUAUGUUUUGAGCUGGCAGAGACCAAGGGCUGCAUUCCACAGCUGGCCACAGCUGACACAGUGGUAGGGGAAUGAAUGAAUGAGUGAGGUUGUAGAAAGAAGCUUUUUUUUUUUUUGACACAUUCCAGCUGACUCUCCCUUACCAUGAUCUUUUUCCCCUAUGCACCUGCCUCCCCCAUGUUAGGAUCAAUUACCUCCCUGGGUGUCUCCCAGCCAGCCACUAGCCAGCCACUCUGCAGAUGUACAGCCACCUCCUACCACAUGGACGGCUGUCAUCUGUUCAGUUCCGGGAGAGGCCUGGAGACCACCAGGUGCACGAGCAAGCUUAGAGUUUAGAGCUGUGCUCUGUGUGCAUGCGGGGCUGUGUGGAGACGCUUGGCUGGGUGCCAACCUGUCACUGGGCAAUGCAGGGACCUGUUCUCAGGCCGGAUCCUGCAGGCUGAUCCUCACCACUUCUGUGGAGGACCUGAUUCACUUACCAAAAUCAUAUGAUUACAUUUUCAGCAUAAUUAGAUACCUAAUUACAUGGCUAAAUGGCUUUGAUCAGGCAGCACGUGUAAAUAAUGAUGAUUUAGUUAGGCACACUUUCUUACUGGGUUUCCAGAAAGCUCGUUGGUUGGUCAACAGGAUGAGAAAAAUGUUUUGCUUCCUUCAAUUAUUUUGAUAGGCAGACAGGGGUGGCCCUGCUGGUGUGGUGUCCAGGAGCCACGAGAGGGAGCGUGAGAGGGACUGGUGGCCUUUGGGUCCAGAGUCAAAGUCAGGGAGUGUUUUCACUUGGAAGUCAGGCAGAGGAUUUACCCAUAGGACAUGAGAAGGGGAGCCCCAGACCACCUGAACACAACAGGACCCCCAAUGUGUGCUCCAGAGCAGAGAUCACUCAACUUUAUUUCGAGAAGGAGAGAAGAGAACAUUGCUUCAUCACGUCUGAUGACUGGGGUGGAGCUCAGGACCCCCUAUGUAUAAAACAUAAGCAGACAUUCAUUCCUCUGGAUCUCUGCAAGCAAGCACUUGAGGUGCAAGCCCAGAGCCUAACAUGCCAACCAGUCCUAGCUGAGUGUCUCUGGCAGGAGGUCAUUCCUGCCUCUUGGCCAGUCACAUUGCCUCUGGAGUUUCAAGUUGCAGUAUCAUCACAUGUGAAAUGAAGAUAAAAAUACCUCCUGUCGGCUGCUAGCCGGUCAAAUGAGAUAACUGAAGCUUAGUGAGGCCUCUUUUCUGUGCUUCACAUCAGGGGGACAGACACCAUAACAGCAGAGUGGGUCAGGAUACUUCACAGAGUUAUUGAA
This is a long non-coding RNA of Erinaceus europaeus (western European hedgehog), 1886 nucleotides long. RefSeq lists it as uncharacterized. Lineage: Eukaryota; Metazoa; Chordata; Mammalia; Eulipotyphla; Erinaceidae. The transcript has 3 exons. The record is from RefSeq and is a predicted model, not a curated record.